Molecule: ribosomal RNA, 253 nt
Filed under: uncultured bacterium
Lineage: Bacteria
Description: partial 16S ribosomal RNA
Rfam family: Bacterial small subunit ribosomal RNA
Source: RNAcentral
GACAGAGGGUGCAAACGUUGUUCGGAAUUACUGGGCGUAAAGCGCGUGUAGGCGGCCAUCUAAGUCGGGCGUGAAAUCCCACGGCUCAACCGUGGAAGUGCACUCGAAACUGGAUGGCUAGAGUCCUGGAGAGGAAGGUGGAAUGCUUGGUGUAGAGGUGAAAUUCGUAGAUAUCAAGCGGAACACCGGUGGCGAAGGCGGCCUUCUGGACCGAGACUGACGCUGAGGAGCGAAAGCGUGGGUAGCAAACAGG